This 1436-nucleotide ribosomal RNA is filed under the name uncultured bacterium. RNAcentral describes it as "bacterial SSU rRNA". It matches the Rfam family "Bacterial small subunit ribosomal RNA". The record is from RNAcentral.
AGAGUUUGAUCCUGGCUCAGAACGUACGCUGGCGGCACGCCUAAUACAUGCAAGUCGAACGAAGUAGCAAUACUUAGUGGCAGACGGGUGAGUAACAUGUAGGUAUCUACCCUUUGGUCUGGAAUAACACGAGGAAACUUGUGCUAAUACCGGAUAAGUCUUUACGGAGAAAGCUUUAUGCACCAUUGGAUGAGCCUGCACUUGAUUAGUUUGUUGGUGGGGUAAUGGCCUACCAAGACAAUGAUCAAUAGCUGAUUUGAGAGGAUGAUCAGCCACAUUGGGACUGAGACACGGCCCAAACUCCUACGGGAGGCAGCAGUAGGGAAUCUUGCACAAUGGAGGAAACUCUGAUGCAGCGAUGCCGCGUGAGUGAAGAAGGCCUUUGGGUUGUAAAGCUCUUUCGUCGGGGAAGAAAAUGACUGUACCCGAAUAAGAAGGUCCGGCUAACUUCGUGCCAGCAGCCGCGGUAAUACGAAGGGACCUAGCGUAGUUCGGAAUUACUGGGCUUAAAGAGUUCGUAGGUGGUUAAAAAAGUUGGUGGUGAAAUCCCAGAGCUUAACUCUGGAACUGCCAUCAAAACUUUUUAGCUAGAGUAUGGUAGAGGAAAGCAGAAUUUCUAGUGUAGAGGUGAAAUUCGUAGAUAUUAGAAAGAAUACCAAUUGCGAAGGCAGCUUUCUGGAUCAUUACUGACACUGAGGAACGAAAGCAUGGGUAGCGAAGAGGAUUAGAUACCCUCGUAGUCCAUGCCGUAAACGAUGUGUGUUAGACGUUGGAAAUUUAUUUUCAGUGUCGCAGCGAAAGCGAUAAACACACCGCCUGGGGAGUACGACCGCAAGGUUAAAACUCAAAUGAAUUGACGGGGACCCGCACAAGUAGUGGAGCAUGUGGUUUAAUUCGAAGAUACGCGCAGAACCUUACCAACACUUGACAUGUUCGUCGCGACUCUAAGAGAUUAGAGUUUUCGGUUCGGCCGGACGAAACACAGGUGCUGCAUGGCUGUCGUCAGCUCGUGUCGUGAGAUGUUGGGUUAAGUCCCGCAACGAGCGCAACCCUCACUUUUAGUUGCCAUCAUUUAGUUGGGCACUCUGAAAGAACUGCCAGUGAUAAGCUGGAGGAAGGUGGGGAUGACGUCAAGUCCUCAUGGCCCUUAUGUGUUGGGCUACACACGUGCUACAAUGAUAUCUACAACAGGAAGCAAGAUGGCAACAUUAAGCAAAUCCUAAAAAGAUAUCUCAGUUCGGAUUGCACUCUGCAACUCGAGUGCAUGAAGCUGGAAUUACUAGUAAUCGUGGAUCAGCGUGCCACGGUGAAUACGUUCCCGGGUCUUGUACACACCGCCCGUCACACCAUGGGAGUUGGUUCUACCUUAAGGCAAAGUUUAAAACCUUUGACCACGGUAUAGUCAGCGACUGGGGUGAAGUCGUAACAAGGUAACC